UACCAGCACCCCGAGUGGUCGGGACGUUUAUUGGGCCUAAAGCAUCCGUAGCCGGUUCUACAAGUCUUCCGUUAAAUCCAGCUGCUUAACAGAUGGGCUGCGGAAGAUACUAUGGAGCUAGGAGGCGGGAGAGGCAAGCGGUACUCGAUGGGUAGGGGUAAAAUCCGUUGAUCCAUUGAAGACCACCAGUGGCGAAGGCGGCUUUCUGGACGGUAACUGACGCUGAGACGCGAAAGCGUGGGGAGCAAACAGG
This 253-nucleotide ribosomal RNA is filed under the name uncultured bacterium. Its description in RNAcentral is "partial 16S ribosomal RNA". It matches the Rfam family "Archaeal small subunit ribosomal RNA", at positions 474 to 727 of the family's 1478-position model. The record is from RNAcentral.